GUUUCUUUUGAUGUGGGUGAUGAAAUGGUUAGGAAGAUACCCGUGCCAAGAGAUUGCGACAAUUCCUUGUCUUGGAACCUUAUGGCAUGGAGGGGAUCACUUGCAAUCUUCUUGUGUGGAAGGAGAGGAUUAAGCCUUCGAUUUGAUAUUUGGCGAAUGUAUAAUCAAUUUCACAGAGCCUGUAGUGAGCCUUUGACUAAGAUUUUCACGAGUGCACUUUUUUCUGAAGUUACAGAGCCCAUGGCAAUUUGGAAAGGAGAUGAAACGGUAGUGCAAGUACUAGAAGCCUGUGAUGAUGAACUGCUGUUGCAUGAUUAUAACAG
RNAcentral lists this unclassified non-coding RNA (323 nucleotides) under Hevea brasiliensis (rubber tree). Lineage: Eukaryota; Viridiplantae; Streptophyta; Magnoliopsida; Malpighiales; Euphorbiaceae. The record is from RNAcentral.